Molecule: ribosomal RNA, 1188 nt
Filed under: marine metagenome
Description: bacterial LSU rRNA
Rfam family: Bacterial large subunit ribosomal RNA
Source: RNAcentral
GUAGUCGAUGGGUGACAGGUUAAUAUUCCUGUACUUAGUAAUGAUCGUUUGACUUGAGGAGUGACGGAGAAAGGUAGUGCAGCUUCCUGUUGGAUGGGAGUUUAAGCGUGUAGGGGGGUUGCUUAGGAAAAUCCGGGCGACUGUUAACUCUGAGGCGUGAUGACGUAAGUGUGUGAUCCUCGGCUUCCUAGAAAAGCUUCGUAAGGAGAUUGUUAUUAAUCCGUACCGUAAACCGACACAGGUAGAUGGGAUGAGAAUUCUAAGGCGCUUGGGAAAAAUCUAGUUAAGGAACUCUGCAAAUUGGUGGCGUAACUUAGGGAUAAGCCACGCCCUUUAUUGUGAUGGUACUUGCUACUUGAGCGAUGGAGGGCCGCAGUGAAAAGGGGGUAGCGACUGUUUAUCAAAAACAUAGGUCUCUGCGAACACGUAAGUGGAAGUAUAGGGACUGACGCCUGCCCGGUGCUGGAAGGUUAAGAGGAGGGGUUAACGUAAGUGAAGCUCUGAAUUGAAGCCCCAGUAAACGGCGGCCGUAACUAUAACGGUCCUAAGGUAGCGAAAUUCCUAGUCGGGUAAGUUCCGACCUGCACGAAUGGCGUAACGACUUCCCCACUGUCUCAACUAGAUACCCAGUGAAAUUGGAGUGCGCGUGAAGAUACGCGCUACCCGCAGAAGGACGAAAAGACCCCGUGAACCUUUACUGUAGCUUGGCAUUGGUUUUUGAAUUGUAAUGCGUAGGAUAGGUGGGAGACGUUGAGGCAUGCGUUCUGGCGUAUGCUUAGUCAUCCUUGAAAUACCACCCUUUGCAAUUUGAGACCCUAACCUACUGUCGUGAUCCGGCAGGGGGACAAUGUCUGGUGGGCAGUUUGACUGGGGCGGUCGCCUCCUAAAGAGUAACGGAGGCGCGCAAAGGUUCCCUCACGCCGUAUGGAAAUCGGCCGUAGAGUGUAAGUGCAUAAGGGAGCUUGACUGCGAGACAGACAAGUCGAGCAGGAACGAAAGUUGGCGCUAGUGAUCCGGUGGUUCCGAGUGGAAGGGCCAUCGCUCAACGGAUAAAAGGUACUCCGGGGAUAACAGGCUGAUCUCCCCCAAGAGUUCACAUCGACGGGGAGGUUUGGCACCUCGAUGUCGGCUCAUCGCAUCCUGGGGCUGGAGCAGGUCCCAAGGGUUUGACUGUUCGUCAAUUAAAGC